CCUACGGGAGGCAGCAGUGAGGAAUAUUGGUCAAUGGACAAGAGUCUGAACCAGCCAAGUAGCGUGAAGGAUGACUGCCCUAUGGGUUGUAAACUUCUUUUAUAUGGGAAUGAAAUGUUCCACGUGUGGGAUUUUGUAUGUACCAUAUGAAUAAGGAUCGGCUAACUCCGUGCCAGCAGCCGCGGUAAUACGGAGGAUCCGAGCGUUAUCCGGAUUUAUUGGGUUUAAAGGGAGCGUAGGUGGAUUGUUAAGUCAGUUGUGAAAGUUUGCGGCUCAACCGUAAAAUUGCAGUUGAAACUGGCAGUCUUGAGUACAGUAGAGGUGGGCGGAAUUCGUGGUGUAGCGGUGAAAUGCUUAGAUAUCACGAAGAACUCCGAUUGCGAAGGCAGUUCACUGGACUGCAACUGACACUGAGGCUCGAAAGUGUGGGUAUCAAACAGGAUUAGAUACCCUUGUAGUC
Molecule: ribosomal RNA, 460 nt
Filed under: uncultured bacterium
Lineage: Bacteria
Description: partial 16S ribosomal RNA
Rfam family: Bacterial small subunit ribosomal RNA
Source: RNAcentral